UUGACGGGACCGCACAAGCGGUGGAUGAUGUGGUUUAAUUCGAUGCAACGCGAAAACCUUACCCACCUUUGACAUGGCAGGAAGUUUCCAGAGAUGGAUUCGUGCUCGAAAGAGAACCUGCACACAGGUGCUGCAUGGCUGUCGUCAGCUCGUGUCGUGAGAUGUUGGGUUAAGUCCCGCAACGAGCGCAACCCUUGCCAUCAGUUGCUACGAAGGGGCACUCUGAUGGGACUGCCGGUGACAAACCGGAGGAAGGUGGGGAUGACGUCAAGUCCUCAUGGCCCUUAUAGGUGGGGCUACACACGUCAUACAAUGGCCGGUACAAAGGGCAGCAAACCCGCGAGGGGGAGCCAAUCCAUCAAAGCCGGUCGUAGUCCGGAUCGCAGUCUGCAACUCGACUGCGUGAAGUCGGAAUCGCUAGUAAUCGUGGAUCAGCAUGUCACGGUGAGUACGUUCCCGGGUCUU
RNAcentral lists this ribosomal RNA (465 nucleotides) under uncultured Hydrogenophaga sp. Its description in RNAcentral is "bacterial SSU rRNA". It matches the Rfam family "Bacterial small subunit ribosomal RNA", at positions 910 to 1382 of the family's 1533-position model. The record is from RNAcentral. Lineage: Bacteria; Pseudomonadati; Pseudomonadota; Betaproteobacteria; Burkholderiales; Comamonadaceae.